RNAcentral lists this ribosomal RNA (245 nucleotides) under Pseudomonas sp. URMO17WK12:I7. The record is from RNAcentral. Lineage: Bacteria; Pseudomonadati; Pseudomonadota; Gammaproteobacteria; Pseudomonadales; Pseudomonadaceae.
AAGCAAUUUGAGCGUAAGCGCCAAAUUGUGGUGGUGAAGAUGAUACGAACCGAAAGUUCGCAACGAACCACAACAUCACAUAUCCGGAUUCGCUGGGCUGUCCAUCUGGACAUUCUGGCUACAGAAUUUCUUGACGACCAUAGAGCAUUGGAACCACCUGAUCCCAUCCCGAACUCAGCAGUGAAACGAUGCAUCGCCGAUGGUAGUGUGGGGUUUCCCCAUGUGAGAGUAGGUCAUCGUCAAGA